AAAAAGACAAACCCUGGUUUUCCGUGCUAACGUUUGACUGUCCGUUUUAUAUAAAAUUUUUUUAUAAUUAGUAUUUUUAUUGUUGUUACAUGAUAAAACAUGAUUAAUACUUUAUACGUGACUUAUCUUUUUAAUUUUUUUCAUAAUUUUUUUAAAUAAGAUGAACAGUUAAACAUUGGAUAUGGAAAUCAGGGUUUGUCUUUUU
This is a microRNA precursor of Oryza rufipogon (brownbeard rice), 205 nucleotides long. It matches the Rfam family "MIR812 microRNA precursor family". The record is from Rfam. NCBI's taxonomy places the organism in Eukaryota, Viridiplantae, Streptophyta, Magnoliopsida, Poales, Poaceae.